This 441-nucleotide ribosomal RNA is filed under the name uncultured bacterium. Its description in RNAcentral is "partial 16S ribosomal RNA". It matches the Rfam family "Bacterial small subunit ribosomal RNA", at positions 338 to 795 of the family's 1533-position model. The record is from RNAcentral.
CCUACGGGGAGCAGCAGUGGGGAAUAUUGCACAAUGGGGGGAACCCUGAUGCAGCGACGCCGCGUGAGCGAGGAAGUAUUUCGGUAUGUAAAGCUCUAUCAGCAGGGACGAAAAAAGACGGUACCUGCCUAAGAAGCCCCGGCUAAGUACGUGCCAGCAGCCGCGGUAAUACGUAGGGGGCAAGCGUUAUCCGGAUUUACUGGGUGUAAAGGGAGCGUAGACGGCAAGGCAAGCCAGAAGUGAAAGGGCGGGGCUCAACCCUGUACAUGCUUUUGGAACUGUGGUGCUAGAGUGCAGGAGAGGUAAGUGGAAUUCCUGGUGUAGCGGUGAAAUGCGUAGAUAUUAGGAGGAACACCAGUGGCGAAGGCGGCUUACUGGACUGUAACUGACGUUGAGGCUCGAAAGCGUGGGGAGCAAACAGGAUUAGAUACCCGAGUAGUC